GCAGCAUUAGCUGAAAAUUAUUUUCAAUCCGGCAACAAAACUAGUGUUAUUAUACAGAAUAUGAUGAUUGUACUCAUACAGUGGGUAUGCUUAUACUAAAGCCUCAUCUAUGAGGUGGUUGAUCAUGGACCCCCACAUUGGCCCUGUCUGUACGGUAAGCAUGAGGAGAUGGAUCGGAAUUGAUGCUUUUUGAUUAAGGAAAGCACAAAACCCUGC
Molecule: non-coding RNA, 216 nt
Organism: Pelobates cultripes (western spadefoot toad)
Lineage: Eukaryota; Metazoa; Chordata; Amphibia; Anura; Pelobatidae
Source: the annotation of a GenBank genome assembly